This 774-nucleotide ribosomal RNA is filed under the name uncultured fungus. RNAcentral's name for it is "eukaryotic LSU rRNA". It matches the Rfam family "Eukaryotic large subunit ribosomal RNA", at positions 30 to 821 of the family's 3401-position model. The record is from RNAcentral. Lineage: Eukaryota; Fungi.
GAACUUAAGCAUAUCAAUAAGCGGAGGAAAAGAAACCAACAGGGAUUGCCUCAGUAACGGCGAGUGAAGCGGCAACAGCUCAAAUUUGAAAUCUGGCCCUUCUGGGGUCCGAGUUGUAAUUUGUAGAAGAUGCUUCGGGUGUGGCUCCGGUCUAAGUUCCUUGGAACAGGACGUCAUAGAGGGUGAGAAUCCCGUAUGUGACUGGCAGCCUUCGCCCAUGUGAAGCUCUUUCGACGAGUCGAGUUGUUUGGGAAUGCAGCUCAAAAUGGGUGGUAAAUUUCAUCUAAAGCUAAAUAUUGGCCAGAGACCGAUAGCGCACAAGUAGAGUGAUCGAAAGAUGAAAAGCACUUUGGAAAGAGAGUUAAACAGUACGUGAAAUUGUUGAAAGGGAAGCGCUUGCAACCAGACUUGCGCGCGGCCGAUCAUCCGGGGUUCUCCCCGGUGCACUCGACCGCGCUCAGGCCAGCAUCGGUUUGGGCGGCUGGAUAAAGGCCCUGGGAAUGUGGCUUCCUUCGGGGAGUGUUAUAGCCCUGGGUGCAAUGCAGCCUGCCCGGACCGAGGACCGCGCUUCGGCUAGGAUGCUGGCGUAAUGGUUGUAAGCGACCCGUCUUGAAACACGGACCAAGGAGUCUAACAUCUAUGCGAGUGUUUGGGUGUCAAACCCAUACGCGUAAUGAAAGUGAACGGAGGUGAGAACCCUUAAGGGCGCAUCAUCGACCGAUCCUGAUGUCUUCGGAUGGAUUUGAGUAGGAGCAUAGCUGUUGGGACCCGAAA